AUACUUAUCUGGCAGGGGAGAUACCAUGAUCAAGAAGGUUGUUCUCCCAGUGUGAGGCUAUACCAUUGCACUUGGGUCGUGCUGAACCUGGCAAAUUCCAUAAAUGUGGGAAUCUCGUCUGCAUAAUUUCUGGUAGGGGGGACUGUGUUCACGCUCUCCCCUG
This is a small nuclear RNA of Syngnathoides biaculeatus (alligator pipefish), 163 nucleotides long. RefSeq annotates it as U1 spliceosomal RNA. The record is from RefSeq and is a predicted model, not a curated record. NCBI's taxonomy places the organism in Eukaryota, Metazoa, Chordata, Actinopteri, Syngnathiformes, Syngnathidae. The transcript has a single exon.